AGUGAACGCUGGCGGUAGGCCUAACACAUGCAAGUCGAACGGCAGCACAGUAAGAGCUUGCUCUUACGGGUGGCGAGUGGCGGACGGGUGAGGAAUACAUCGGAAUCUACUUUUUCGUGGGGGAUAACGUAGGGAAACUUACGCUAAUACCGCAUACGACCUACGGGUGAAAGCAGGGGAUCUUCGGACCUUGCGCGAUUGAAUGAGCCGAUGUCGGAUUAGCUAGUUGGCGGGGUAAAGGCCCACCAAGGCGACGAUCCGUAGCUGGUCUGAGAGGAUGAUCAGCCACACUGGAACUGAGACACGGUCCAGACUCCUACGGGAGGCAGCAGUGGGGAAUAUUGGACAAUGGGCGCAAGCCUGGUCCAGCCAUACCGCGUGGGUGAAGAAGGCCUUCGGGUUGUAAAGCCCUUUUGUUGGGAAAGAAAAGCAGCAGGUUAAUACCCCGCUGUUCUGACGGUACCAAAAGAAUAAGCACCGGCUAACUUCGUG
RNAcentral lists this ribosomal RNA (492 nucleotides) under uncultured bacterium. RNAcentral's name for it is "partial 16S ribosomal RNA". It matches the Rfam family "Bacterial small subunit ribosomal RNA", at positions 29 to 507 of the family's 1533-position model. The record is from RNAcentral.